AGGAAAUGCCACCCCAAAAUGUGUGGCUUUGGUAUAUGGAUUUCUUUGAACUGAAGGAACCUCAGAGAAGGGUUCUGCCUCCUCCUUUCUACCUGGAAUCAAGUCAUAAAAUUUCCCAUGAGAAAGGUUCCCUCGCCAUUCCAGGAAGAGAGAGCAUUCUCAAAGGACACUGGUGGUUGAUGCUGAAUGUACAAAAAAGCUUAAGAAAAUCCUUCUCAUCUCACAUGAGUUUCCCACAUUUAAUUCGUCAUCACUGCCUCACAACUGGCUGCCCUGAUCCCAGCUCUUUGCCUUGGGUACAAGGGUGUAUGAGGUGUGGCGUCUAAUGGCUUCUUUGGAUCUUUGUGCUCUGUCUGAAGAUGCCCUCGUAGAUGGAAAGAUGAGGAGUGUGCGUGCUUCUCUCCUUGAACCUACGUCAGUUUAAUUCUUGGGCCAGCUGCAAAACCCAAGCAGCUAGAAGGAAUUUUCCUCUCCCCUACGUGGGUAAGCAAGGCAGAAAUCGUGAGAGAGCUGAAAAGUAGAAGCAAUGCUCAGAAGGUUUUCUCCUUUAUAAAUGAAUAAAACGAGAGUACUUGAAGCAAGAAACAAAAGGCUCCUUACAGAAAACCUGACUCCUCCAAAGGAAAGGCUUCACGUAGAAAAUGAAAACCGUUGUUUGUCUUCCUAAUAGCUGCCAUUCUGACUGGAGUGAGAUGACAUCUUAGAGUGGUUCUGAUUUGCAUUUCUCUAAUGGCUAGAGAUGAUGGACAUUUUUUCAUAUAUUUGCUGAUUGAUUGUAUAUUCUCUUCUGAAAAGUGUCUGUCAGUUCCUUGGUCCAUUUAUUGAUUGGGUUAUUUGGUUUUUUGGUGUUUCGCUUUUUGAGUUCUUUAUAUAUCCUAGAAACUAGUGCUCUCUCUGAUGUUUGAGGGGUAAAAACAACAAUAAGUGUUGGCGAGGAUGUGGGGGAAAAGGCACACUCAUACACUGCUGGUGGGACUGCAAAUUGGUGCAGCUGAUAGGGAAAGCAGUGUGGAGAUUCCUUGGAAAUCUGGGAAUGGAAUCACCAUUUGACCCAGCAAUCGCAUUCCUCUGUCUAUACCCAAGACUUAAAAACAGCAUACUACAGGGACACAGCCACAUCAAUGUUUAUAGCAGCACAGUUCACAAUAGCUAAACUGUGGAGCCAACCUAGAUGCCCUUCAGUAGAAGAAUGGAUAAAAAAUAUGGCAUUUAUACACAAUGGACUGUUACUCAUCAAUAAAAGAAUAAAAUCAUGGCAUUUGCAGGUAAAUAGAUGGAGUUAGAGAAGAUAAUGCUAAGAGAAGUUAGCCAAUCCCAAAAAACCAAAUGCUGAAUAUUUUCUCUGAUAUAAGGAGGCUGAUUCAUAG
RNAcentral lists this long non-coding RNA (1367 nucleotides) under Marmota monax (woodchuck). The record is from RNAcentral. Lineage: Eukaryota; Metazoa; Chordata; Mammalia; Rodentia; Sciuridae.